This 554-nucleotide unclassified non-coding RNA is filed under the name Hevea brasiliensis (rubber tree). The record is from RNAcentral. Lineage: Eukaryota; Viridiplantae; Streptophyta; Magnoliopsida; Malpighiales; Euphorbiaceae.
CCCACAGAUGAGGAUUCAUCCCGAGAAUGUUAUAGAAUCCAUCUGAAAUUCUGUCACCGUACGACAAGCAUCCACUAACCCAGAGACGAUAAGAUACUGUUUCUGCAUCGAAGGACUCAGGCACGCCCUCCUGCAAAAGUACAAGCUCACUAGCAAGGCCAGAUUGAAAACUAAGCCUCUUAGCUAAAGCAAGCUGCNAGUAAGACUCUCUUGUCCUCUGCGCCCCCUUCUCUUCAUUCUUCUCAUCCUGCACCACCACCACCACCUCCUCCUGCACCGUAUCCUGCCUCGUGGUAUUAGUUGCAGUGUCCUUAACAUCGCUCAAAAAGUUUCCCUCCAAUGUAGUCCCCGAGAACAAUCUACCUGCAUAACUACUCCAACUCCCACUCGCCAGUCUCGGCAAGGACAACUGGCGGUCAACGUUGCAGUCAACAUCCCUCUCCUUAAUAAUCUCCGGAAUCACCUCCAGCUCCGGCGCUGCAGGUUCCGGUGUAAUCAAUAGCUGACGAUCCUCAUCAUCAGAUGAUAAACUUUGCAACUUGACGUGAGAAGCC